GCACCGUUCGUCUAAUGGUUAGGACACAGGCUUUUCACGCCUGCAAUAGGGGUUCGAUUCCCCUACGGUGUA
RNAcentral lists this transfer RNA (72 nucleotides) under Streptococcus sp. RNAcentral's name for it is "tRNA-Glu". It matches the Rfam family "tRNA". Rfam says of the family: Transfer RNA (tRNA) molecules are approximately 80 nucleotides in length. Their secondary structure includes four short double-helical elements and three loops (D, anti-codon, and T loops). The record is from RNAcentral. Lineage: Bacteria; Bacillati; Bacillota; Bacilli; Lactobacillales; Streptococcaceae.